GACGAACGCUGGCGGCGUGCUUAACACAUGCAAGUCGAACGGAAAGGCCCUGCUUUUGUGGGGUGCUCGAGUGGCGAACGGGUGAGUAACACGUGAGUAACCUGCCCUUGACUUUGGGAUAACUUCAGGAAACUGGGGCUAAUACCGGAUAGGAGCUCCUGCUGCAUGGUGGGGGUUGGAAAGUUUCGGCGGUUGGGGAUGGACUCGCGGCUUAUCAGCUUGUUGGUGGGGUAGUGGCUUACCAAGGCUUUGACGGGUAGCCGGCCUGAGAGGGUGACCGGCCAAAUGGGGACUGAGAUACGGCCCAGACUCCUACGGGAGGCAGCAGUGGGGAAUAUUGCACAAUGGGCGGAAGCCUGAUGCAGAAACGCCGCGUGCGGGAUGACGGCCUUCGGGUUGUAAACCGCUUUCGCCUGUGACGAAGCGUGAGUGACGGUAAUGGGUAAAGAAGAACCGGCUAAUUACGU
Molecule: ribosomal RNA, 467 nt
Filed under: uncultured bacterium
Lineage: Bacteria
Description: partial 16S ribosomal RNA
Rfam family: Bacterial small subunit ribosomal RNA
Source: RNAcentral